CGGGCAGUGGCGCAGUUUGGUAGCGCACCCGCUUUGGGAGCGGGGGGUCGCAGGUUCAAAUCCUGUCUGCCCGA
This 74-nucleotide transfer RNA is filed under the name Actinokineospora cianjurensis. RNAcentral's name for it is "tRNA-Pro". It matches the Rfam family "tRNA". From Rfam's summary of the family: Transfer RNA (tRNA) molecules are approximately 80 nucleotides in length. Their secondary structure includes four short double-helical elements and three loops (D, anti-codon, and T loops). Lineage: Bacteria; Bacillati; Actinomycetota; Actinomycetes; Pseudonocardiales; Pseudonocardiaceae. The record is from RNAcentral.